GUGGCGAACGGGUGAGUAACACGUGGGCAAUCUGCCCUUCACUCUGGGACAAGCCCUGGAAACGGGGUCUAAUACCGGAUAACACUCUGUCCCGCAUGGGACGGGGUUAAAAGCUCCGGCGGUGAAGGAUGAGCCCGCGGCCUAUCAGCUUGUUGGUGGGGUAAUGGCCUACCAAGGCGACGACGGGUAGCCGGCCUGAGAGGGCGACCGGCCACACUGGGACUGAGACACGGCCCAGACUCCUACGGGAGGCAGCAGUGGGGAAUAUUGCACAAUGGGCGAAAGCCUGAUGCAGCGACGCCGCGUGAGGGAUGACGGCCUUCGGGUUGUAAACCUCUUUCAGCAGGGAAGAAGCGAAAGUGACGGUACCUGCAGAAGAAGCGCCGGCUAACUACGUGCCAGCAGCCGCGGUAAUACGUAGGGCGCAAGCGUUGUCCGGAAUUAUUGGGCGUAAAGAGCUCGUAGGCGGCUUGUCACGUCGGAUGUGAAAGCCCGGGGCUUAACCCCGGGUCUGCAUUCGAUACGGGCUAGCUAGAGUGUGGUAGGGGAGAUCGGAAUUCCUGGUGUAGCGGUGAAAUGCGCAGAUAUCAGGAGGAACACCGGUGGCGAAGGCGGAUCUCUGGGCCAUUACUGACGCUGAGGAGCGAAAGCGUGGGGAGCGAACAGGAUUAGAUACCCUGGUAGUCCACGCCGUAAACGUUGGGAAACUAGGUGUUGGCGACAUUCCACGUCGUCGGUGCCGCAGCUAACGCAUUAAGUUCCCCGCCUGGGGGAGUACGGCCGCAAGGCUAAAACUCAAAGGAAAUUGACGGGGGCCCGCACAAGCAGCGGAGCAUGUGGCUUAAUUCGACGCAACGCGAAGAACCUUACCAAGGCUUGACAUAUACCGGAAAGCAUCAGAGAUGGUGCCCCCCUUGUGGUCGGUAUACAGGUGGUGCAUGGCUGUCGUCAGCUCGUGUCGUGAGAUGUUGGGUUAAGUCCCGCAACGAGCGCAACCCUUGUUCUGUGUUGCCAGCAUGCCCUUCGGGGUGAUGGGGACUCACAGGAGACUGCCGGGGUCAACUCGGAGGAAGGUGGGGACGACGUCAAGUCAUCAUGCCCCUUAUGUCUUGGGCUGCACACGUGCUACAAUGGCCGGUACAAUGAGCUGCGAUGCCGCGAGGCGGAGCGAAUCUCAAAAAGCCGGUCUCAGUUCGGAUUGGGGUCUGCAACUCGACCCCAUGAAGUCGGAGUUGCUAGUAAUCGCAGAUCAGCAUUGCUGCGGUGAAUACGUUCCCGGGCCUUGUACACACCGCCCGUCACGUCACGAAAGUCGGUAAC
This 1320-nucleotide ribosomal RNA is filed under the name Streptomyces sp. RNAcentral's name for it is "bacterial SSU rRNA". It matches the Rfam family "Bacterial small subunit ribosomal RNA", at positions 95 to 1418 of the family's 1533-position model. The record is from RNAcentral. Lineage: Bacteria; Bacillati; Actinomycetota; Actinomycetes; Kitasatosporales; Streptomycetaceae.